This 406-nucleotide ribosomal RNA is filed under the name uncultured bacterium. Its description in RNAcentral is "partial 16S ribosomal RNA". It matches the Rfam family "Bacterial small subunit ribosomal RNA", at positions 30 to 526 of the family's 1533-position model. The record is from RNAcentral.
AUUGAACGCUAGCGGGAUGCCUUACACAUGCAAGUCGAACGAGCGGCGGACGGGUGAGUAAUGUCUGGGAAACUGCCUGAUGGAGGGGGAUAACUACUGGAAACGGUAGCUAAUACCGCAUACUAUCGGAUGUGCCCAGAUGGGAUUAGCUAGUAGGUGGGGUAAAGGCUCACCUAGGCGACGAUCCCUAGCUGGUCUUAGAGGAUGACCAGCCACACGGGGACUGAGACACGGUCCAGACUCCUACGGGAGGCAGCAGUGGGGAAUAUUGCACAAUGGGCGCAAGCCUGAUGCAGCCAUGCCGCGUGUAUGAAGAAGGCCUUCGGGUUGUAAAGUACUUUCAGCGGGGAGGCGUUACCCGCAGAAGAAGCACCGGCUAACUCCGUGCCAGCAGCCGCGGUAAUUC